UCCAUGACAGAUGCAAUAAGCAGCCACUGAUUCCAAAAUUCUUGCUAAAAGAUAUACAGUGCCUUGAGAAAGUAUUCGUACUCAACAUGUUGUUGUUACAGCCUGAAUUCAAAAUUGAUUAAAUAGAAUUUUGGGGGGCCAAGUGGGGAAUGGUAAUGUUUAAAAAUGAAUGUUUUAAAAGUUGUUAAUAAGGUACAUUAAGGAUGUUAGCUUGAUCUGGAAAUCCUCAGGUUAAAACGGUUAGGGUUUGAAGUGGAUGGACUUCCUGCUUAGCUGAGAAUCAGGUGGGAGUUGAGUGGGUGGAAAAAGCAUAUUUUUAGAAUGAUGGGCACAUUAGAUGUCAACCACUGAACACAUCAUUGGAGCAGGUGUUAUUCACGAUGAGUUAGCAGAAAGAAGAACAGAGGGUAUAAAAGAGCCAUGAUUUUUGAAAGGGAGUACUCUCUUUGAGCUUGCCAGAAGAGCCUGUGGACUGCUGGAAGAUUUUUUUUGCUGCGGCUUUUUAGCCUACAAUAUAUUUCGAUUUUUAUUAUACUCAUAUUUAAAUUUGCAUUAUACUCAGUUAAAGUAAAAUUCUAGGAGGAAUCCUUAAUGGUACCUCAUUGAUAGAGGUGUGGUAAGUUAGCGGUUAGUUUCUAGAAGACGUCUGACGGACUGAUCAGACUCUGUUUAUAGAGUUGUAGAAGAGUCAACUUGUUCCUGAAGGUCUCUAUCUAAAACAGUCGUGGAAGCCACCCUGACAGCCAGUGAGUGCCAGGUAGAGGAACAGAAAGACCUACUGCUAUCACUGAGAGCCACAGUGGAGAAACAGAGUUCUGCACUCCAAGAGCUGAGAGCCACCGUGGAGGAACUGAAGAGAGAGAACAGAGAGAGACCGAAGGUAGCCUUCUCAGCUUCACUGUCUGAAACCAAAGGACCAUACAAUACUGACAUCACCCUGGUCUACAAGCAUGUCUUCACCAACACUGGCAAUGCUUACAGUCCGGUGACUGGCAUCUUUAAGGCGCCGGUGAGUGGAAUCUACUACUUCAGAUACACUGCCUUUGGAUUCACCUCCAAACAUAGAAGAGUGUCCCUGUACAAAGGAGGACAAGUUAUGGUGACUGUGACUGACCAUAGCACACCACAUGAUGGAGAAGACAGUGGAUCCAAUGGUGUCACCCUGCAGCUGGAGGAAGGUGAAGAGGUCUACACACGUCUUAAAGCAGAACAUCAGGUCUAUGAUGACGGGGCUCACCAUACCACCUUCACCGGCUUUCUGAUCUGCACUUAGGAAGCAGAGUAACAAUUGUUAGCAAAAAUGUGCAUUUGAUUACCAAGUCAAAUUUCAGAUUUUUUAUUCAGUAAAAUUGUUAAUGAAUAGAUAUUAACAGUUCCAGUGAUUUACAUUCUCUCAAGUAAAAUAGAUAACAAUGUGACAAUCCUUUACGAAGGUUUUGAUUUGCUACUAAAAUACAUCGACUGUGGUGUUUUAUGCGAUGCUUAAGACAUUGAGUUGUAUGUAUCUUUGAUUUUAAAAUAAAAUAAGAUUAAUAAGA
This is a long non-coding RNA of Salmo salar (Atlantic salmon), 1538 nucleotides long. RefSeq lists it as uncharacterized. Lineage: Eukaryota; Metazoa; Chordata; Actinopteri; Salmoniformes; Salmonidae. The record is from RefSeq and is a predicted model, not a curated record.